ACUGCUGAUAAGUCUUCUGUUAGUUGGAUGGGUUUUUCUUUAUAGGUUACCUGAUGCUUUUGUCUCACUGCUCUUACAAUUCUUCUUUUCAUGUUGACGUUAGAUAGCCUGAUGACAAUAUGCCUUUGUGAUUAUCUUUUUUGCAAUGGAUCUCCCAUGAAUUCUUUGAGCUUCUUAUAUUUGGAUAUCUAAAUCUCUACCAAGGCCAGCUAGAUGAUAGAGCAAGACAGUCUACAUUUAUUUCAUGUCUGAAAGGCUGGAAAAGAGAUCAUGUUCCCCACCAUCUUCACCUGAUCAUCACUGUUCACAAUAGCCAAGAUUUGGAAGAAACCUAAGUGUCCACCAAGAGAUGAAUGGAUAAAGAAAAUAUGGUACUUAUAUACAAUGGAGUAUACUCAGCCAUAAAAAAGAAUGAGAUCCAGUCAUUUGCAACAACAUGGAUGGAAAUGGAGAUCAUUACGUUAAGUGAAAUAAGCCAGUUCUGGAGGCCAGGAAUUUAAGCUGAGUCUUAUGUGGCUAAAAUCAAGGUAUCAUCAGGGCUGCUUCCUUCUGUCAGCUCCAGAGAGAAUACAUUCCUUGUCUCUGCCAGCUUCAGAUUUGUCUAAUAUAGAUACUUCCGUGAGCAGCCCAAGCCCCUCCUCACUGACAAGUUCUACUUCACCUUAACUGAGGGCAUUGCUCUUUCAGACAGACCACCUUGCAAAGGACAGCUGCAUACUCAACUUGCCGCUGUUUCUCCUGGAGGCCAACCUGGUGACCUUCCUCUUCCCUCUGGACCGCCUGAGAAGGGCGGCAGAAAAGGAGAUGGUGACAAGAUGCCUCUGCACAACCUCGCCAUGGUUUUGGCCCCAUGAUGCUCUGGCUUUCUAGUCUUCAUUGCUUUGUCUCCAACUCAAGCAUAGUGUUUUUUUUUUGUUUUUUUACUCAUUCUUGAGAGGAAGCCAUUAGCUUUCUUUGGUUGCUUUGUCAUUUAUCUUAUGUGACUACACCAGUUAAUCAAAAGAUCACUUGCUGCUCUUCUCCACUAAAACAACACCCACUUCAUGCUCAUUGUCUAAAGUGGGGGCACCAUUUGUAACUACAGAUACUAAUUGUGGGGAUCCCAGGUUUAUUAUGUGGGAGAGACUGAGACUCCCCUCAGCUGUCCCCUGAGGAGGGUUCAUAGGUGAGUGAGAAAGGGACAGGGCAGCGAUGUGGACAUCUCCCCACAUUGCCCAAGGGGCAUUGCUUCCUAGUGAGGAAACUCUCGCUGUAGUUUUCUGGCAGGGAAAUAAUACAAUCUCCAGAUCAUUUAUCAAUUUUGUUUUUUUUAAAUAAACAUUUUGCCAUUAUUAGAUGAGUAUAUAAAAAAUAAAUAAUAUGGAUUUAUCUCGCAGUGUACCAUUCAACUCCAUCCCAAAAUAGAUCUAUUAUCUUCUCUUUUGUUCAGUGAAUACUAUUCAUACCUAGGUAAAACUGUUGCUGUUACUCAUGAUUUAAGGGCAUUAGGAAUACAACUCAAGGGAAAAAAUACCGCUAUUGGAAACCAAAAAGAGUGUCUGGGACAGGUGUCAAUCUAUUUAGAGGUUUUUUUUCACCAAGGUUGAGGACGCACCCGGGAAAAAGAGACACGAGCCACAGUGGAAUCUGUGGCCUGCACUUUUUCCAAAGAAUUUUGAGGGUUUCAAUAUUUAUAGGGGAAAAAGCAGGCCAAAGGAAAAGGAGAGAAGACAAAAAGGGGAGAGUAGAAAAAAGGAGACAAGUGGUCUCAUUGUCUUGAGGCUUUCAUUAGUUCUCACUGAAGCCACAGGUUGCCCAUGAAAAGGAGGGGGUAGAGGAACAGCUGAUUAUGUACUCGCCUGGCACUGGUAAGGCUGCACCUCACAUGAGAUAAAGCAAACAUAGAGUAGAGGAAGCAUCAACAUGCAUUUGUCUUGGGGUGGUGGUAGGAAUAUUUCAGUUUCCUUUUGCCCUGUAUCCCUGAAGAUAAGUUGCUAAUUUACAUGGUCAGGGUGAGGGAGGUAACCUGGAAAGAUAUGUUUAGGAACAAAAGGAAAGAUGGUUUCUGGGUGUGACUCAGUUUCCAAGUUUAACUUUCCCUUUUGGCAUAGCGAGUUUGGGGUCCCAACAUUUUAUUUGCCUUUUACACUAUUGACUACUAACAGUGUUUGUUGUUAAAUUCCAUCUGUUUUAAAAUUUUAAUAAAAUAUUUAUAUCAUAAAA
This is a long non-coding RNA of Pan troglodytes (chimpanzee), 2202 nucleotides long. RefSeq lists it as uncharacterized. The record is from RefSeq and is a predicted model, not a curated record. The transcript has 5 exons. Lineage: Eukaryota; Metazoa; Chordata; Mammalia; Primates; Hominidae.